Molecule: ribosomal RNA, 484 nt
Filed under: uncultured bacterium
Lineage: Bacteria
Description: partial 16S ribosomal RNA
Rfam family: Bacterial small subunit ribosomal RNA
Source: RNAcentral
GACGAACGCUGGCGGCGUGCUUAACACAUGCAAGUCGAACGAUGAAGCCGGAGCUUGCUCUGGUGAAUUAGUGGCGAACGGGUGAGUAACACGUGAGUAACCUGCCCUUGACUCUGGGAUAACUGCGGGAAACUGUAGCUAAUACCGGAUACGACCCUCGGAGGCAUCUCCUGGGGGUGGAAAGAAUUUCGGUCAAGGAUGGACUCGCGGCCUAUCAGCUAGUUGGUGAGGUAAAGGCUCACCAAGGCGACGACGGGUAGCCGGCCUGAGAGGGUGACCGGCCACACUGGGACUGAGACACUGCCCAGACUCCUACGGGAGGCAGCAGUGGGGAAUAUUGCACAAUGGGCGCAAGCCUGAUGCAGCAACGCCGCGUGAGGGAUGACGGCCUUCGGGUUGUAAACCUCUUUUAGUAGGGAAGAAGCGAAAGUGACGGUACCUGCAGAAAAAGCACCGGCUAACUACGUGCCAGCCGCCGCGGUAA